GCUGCUAUUCAAAAUAGAGAAAGAAUGAUCUUUGUGUUUAAUUUACCCCUUAGACCAAAAAUGAAUAAAGACAUCUGAAUUAUGAGAGUCUAACACAAUAUUUUGAGUGAAAUUGGAAAAUGUUUUAUUUUAUUUUUAUAUGGAAAUUACAUGUUCAGAAACUAAAUAAAAGUGUUUAUUAUCUAUAAUCCUUUAGACUUGACAUGUUUUAUUCUAUACACACUUGAUUGUUACACUUGUCUUAAAUAUCCCCUAUAUAUACUUGACUAUUUACUACUCUCUCCAUUUCACAAACAAUGGUCUAGUUUGACUUGACACGACGUUUAAGAAAAUAAAGAAGACUUUUGAAUCUGUGGUCCUACAUUAAAGUUAUGUUAAAUGUACAAAAUUGUCCUUUAAUCUUGUGGUCUUAAAUAUGUCAGGUGGAAAACUGAAAUUAAAAUGUUACCAAAAAUAGAAAAAGGUCAUUCUUUUUUAAACUGACUAAAAAAAAAGGAGGUCAUUUGUGAAACGGAGGGAGUAUCAUUUAUCUCUUGAACAUUGAUGUGGAAAAGAGUGAAUACACUCUUCUAGGUGCUUGAGUGAAAAGAAAAAUAGAGGGCAUAAUUUUAACCCCAAUUUAUGUUUUUUUAUUUAUUCUUUAGCUGUAAUGACUAUUUAUUUUAAUUAUCUUUUUUUUUCUUUUGGUGAGAGUGUUUAGUUGUCGGUGUAGAUCAAAUAUUAAGAAUAUGGCAUCUAGACAACUAUUAAACGGGGAAUGAAUUUACCCAAUGGAUUUUAUGUUUUAAGAGAAUAAGAGCCAUGUGGAUGUUACUUGAGUUUAACACUGUUACUUUUAAACGGAUUUUAUUAAGGAGAUUAAAAGUACUCCACUUUAGCAAAAUGAAGGGAUUAAAAAUAUUCAUAUUAUAUAUAUUUGAAGACCAAAAUGAACCUAUUCCUAUAGAUAUGGUAUAGUUUUAGCCCAAAUCCAAUAUAUGAAACCUUAAUCAUCAUUCAAGAAGAUAGUAGUAUAGAAUGAACUCCUUCGAUAAGUAUUCAUUUUGUCCCACUACAUAAAACCUAGGAUGAGAUUCAUAUUUUUGUAGGUAAAUAUUUUGAUGAUCAAAUUUUAAAUUGAGCUUCUUAGUUAAAAUAAUGAGGCAAGCUUUGAAAAAAAAGACAACGAUAUUAUAAUUUUAAUAGAAAAGAGACUAAAUUAUCCUUAAACUAUCAGAAAUAGCUCCAUUUUAUCCUUCAUUUGCUUUUGGUAUACCAAAAAUACCCUUGCUAUCUAUUUUUUGGACCAAAAUAUGCCUCCAAGCUAAUGUUGUCCACAUGAGCAUGUUAGGGCCAUUUAAAUAAUAGAAAAACCUGACAUGACAAUUCAAUAUGACAAAAUAGGGUUAAAUUGCCUUUGAAGAAAUUGCUUAUUUAAUUUUUACAUUUAUAUGACAUUGGGUUUCAUCGUAUCAAUGAGUGAUUCUUACCUAAUCUAUUUUUUUAAACUCGAACUUAACUUGAUUGUUUAAAAGUGUAUGUUACAUUAAAUCCAUCAGAAAAUAGAUGGCAUGGCGUUUUGGUUGUCAGAAGCAAAUAAAGGAUUAAUUGAGUGUUACUUGUUAGUUUAAGGACAAUUUUAGCCCUUUUUCAUAGUAACAAUAUGAAAACUCAAUAUUGUAUAACAUAUAUUAAUUUGAGUUUAUGGAAUUAAUAACUUAUUUCAUUUAAAUACAAAUACCAUAAUUCUAGGACAAGUAACCAUAGAAAGUAGAAAAAAGGGGCAAAUAUAUAUCUUCACUAUGUGAUCUGGAGUGAAUAUACCUUUUGUUAAAAAAAUAAAAUGAUGCAUAUAUAACAUGAACGUUUAACAAAUAAUGCAUAUUUAUUAUUUUCAUUAACAAUUAAAUUUUAAAAAAUUUGAAGUUAGUUUUUUAAUUUCUAAACACUCACAUGGUUUUUAAAAAAAUUACUCACUCAAUUUUUACCCCUCUAGACCUAAUCCAACUAAAGAACCUCAUCCCUCUUUAUUCAGACCUGACUCAAACUCAUCUUAUGUUUGAGUAGAAGAUGGAUUGGGUUUUUAUUCAUUUGGGUUGGGUCUAGAGGGGAAAAAAAUGAGUGGGGUAAUUUUUUAAAGCCACGUGAUAUUUUUGAAUUUUAAAAAUCAAUUUUAUAAUUAUUUUUUUAAUUCAAUAAAUACAGACCUGUUAAUGGAAAUGGUAUAUAUGCACCAUUUGUUAGACGACAGAGUAUAUAUAUCAUUUUUUUUAACAAAGGAUAUAUCAGUUUCAAAUCGCAAAGUUGAGGGUAUUUACCCUUUUCCUUAGAAAGUAGCUUAAAUAAAAUGGUACCUCUGUUUCCUUCCAUAAAUAAUGCAGCGAACUCCCAUGAAGUUCAAGAUGAACAAGCUUUUCUGGUUUAAAAUUUUCUGGCAAUGACUUCCAAGGAUAGUGAUUCCAGACUAACCAACGCAAGUUAUUGGACAGGUACUCAAUAGAGUCAUCAUGGUCAUUCGAAGAGCGAAAUGGAGCAGAGAAUUCGAAAAUAUCAAAUAUGUGUAAUAUCCUAAGACUUUUCAUUUUUUUCAUUGCCUCAUUAUUAAAGCAUAGUUCUUCUUCAUUGCAACUAAACCAGAUUGCUUCCACUGUCAUGGUCCCCUGAUAAAAAGAUCAUGAGUCAACUAAUCAUAACUUCACAUGUUGCUUACAAGAAAUAUUUUGUGCAAAUAUUUAUAUUUUCUAAUAAUACUUUUUUUUUGAGAAGUUCUUUAGCAUCAAAUCAUAAAAAAUUCAAUGUAGUGAUAGAAUAAAUAUUGUAAUUGGAACAAUACAAAUAAUUGUCAUCUUUUAAUUUGUUUAUUUUUAAAUCAAUGAUUAAGUGAAUUCUUGGUUGAGGAUUGGUAUGUUAUGAUUUGACCCUUCUUACUUGUAUUUUUUUAUGUGAGGAUUUUUAUAGGGUAAAUAUGUGGGUGAUAUUAGCUUUAAAAACUAUUUACUUAUUGGUGUGUAUAACAUGCAAUCUUAAGAAAGAAACUGGAUAAAACAUAUUAAACACUAAUUCAUAGACGAUUAGCUAUGUUAGGCAAUUGAUGUUACUUUUGCUUCUUUUAUUAAAAAAUAAAUAAAUAAAUAAAUAAAGUAAAGAGCUAAAAUGACGUACCUGUAAGAAUAUGAAGCAAGAGGAACAAAUAAAUGGAAUUGAUUGGCUAUACGUCUUUGAAAUAUAAAAAUUAGAAAUUAAAUAUUAUUGCAUUGUUUAGCUUACUUACUGUAUAGUCUAUCAUCACUUUUUUGAAAUCUUCAACAUCCCAUAUUCUGCUACGGUUUUUCGGAAGCUUUUGCAUUUUCACCACAUAUCUACCCAUAUCUUCAAUCAAAUCAUGCAUUUCAAUCGUAUCAUCUUCAGAGAUGAACACAAGAGAUUUAUUAAUCAGAACAUUCAAUCCGUAUUCAGCUCCAAAGUCACAACUCUCAAGAAUUUGCAUGACUUCUUUUCUUUCAAUUCCACGUAAGAAACAUGCAAUAUCUAGAAAUAUCUCUUGCUCUUCAAGCUCCAACCCAUCAUAACUUAUUUUGAGUUUUUCAACAAUUUCUGAAUUAGAGUUUUUCUUUAUUUGCUCUACAGUUUUUCUCCACAAAGUUAGACACUUUUUAUGCAAUAAAGAACCCCACACCUUGAGGGCUAAAGGAAGGCCUUUAGCGUGAUUUACUACCUCCAAUGAGAACUUCUUAAAACUCUCAUCUGGAUCUUCUUUUUUAAAAGCAUGCUUAUUGAAUAAUUGCAUAGCUUCAUGAUCAGGUAGUGUAGACACUUCGUAUAUCGCAUCAUCCUUCUCUAUCAAAUGUUUGUUUCUAGUUGUCACAAUGACUCUACUGCCAUUACCAAACCAAUCAACAUCACCUGCUAAAUACUCCAAAUGCUCAAUGUGAUCUAUAUCAUCAAGCACAAUUAGCACCUUCAUAGAACAAAGUAUGCUCGGAAUCAUGCACUUCCCAUCAUACUUAUCAUUGACAUAAUCAUCUUUUUUUCUUAACAGUUUAGAGAGAAGGGUGUUUUGUAAAGAAUGCAAUUCAUUCUUUUUUGCAUUUUCUUUAACAUCUGCAAGAAAACAGGAAGCUUUAAAUUGAUAAGAUAUAGCAUCAAAAAUAGCUUUUGCUAUUGUUGUUUUACCGACUCCGCCUAUUCCCAGAUCCCUAAAAUCCGAACAUCGUUGUUUCCAUUUGAAGUUUGGAUUUUAGUUUCUCUAAGUGAUCGUUUAUUCCCACAACAUCUUGCAAAAAAGAUGAAGAAUAAGCAUUUGUGCAAAAUUUGGAAGAGAUGCAGCCUACGAUCUGUUGAAUAUUCUCUGAUUCAAUCCUACAUAAAGAAGAAGAUUGAUAGUUUAGGAGGACUUUUAUGUAUUCUCUCUAAUUGAAUUGAUAGAACUAUGCCUUCUUAACAAUAAAAAUGUAUAUACUCUACCAUCUAAAUAAUUAAUAAUCAAUGAAAUUAUAUUGUGUUUGAAUGGAAAUUAUUCCAUUUUUUCAUUAAAAGUAAUUAUGUGUAUUCAACUAACCCGUCACGGAUAUCAUAUCCUUUUAGAUUUGCGGCAACAGUUAGGGCAUUUCUCCAUCUUUGCACCUUCUGCAUCCCCUCAACAUCAUCCUUAUACUUUAAUUCAUGUUCGGCAAAUGCUGCUCCAAAGCUUUCACUUUGGUUUCGAAUAUGUGAUGGAUCCACAUCAUAGAAGAUUGGUAUGACUGUUUGUCCAUUUUCUUCAUCUUUGCAUUCCAUGAUCUUCACUAGUUCAUUCAAGCACCACUUAGAUGUAGCAUAAUUCUUUGAGAAAACAAUAAGUGCAACUUGAGACUCUUCGAUAGCUCUCAAGAGUUCUUUCGGAAUUGAAUCUCCAUGCUCUAGCCUUUUAUCAUCUUGAAAGGUGCUUAUUCCCCUAUUUUUCAAACCUUCAUACAAAUGACCCGUAAAUGUUUUUCGAGUGUCUUCACCUCUGAAGCUUAGAAACACAACGUACUUCCAUCGAGGACAAUACUUUGAAUUACUCGCAGAAGAAGAAGAAGAUGCCAUAGAUUCGAUUAAUUGUCUGAAAAGAAAAAUAUUUUUUAUGGAUGAGAUCUAUUGAUGAUAUUUUGGACAAAGUCCUUGUAUUGACAAUUCAGAUAAGGCGGUGGAGGAUAUGGCUGUUGUCCAUUCAUUUUACAAAUGUGGAAAUGCCCUGGAACCUGAUAUUUGUUGGGCUGGAUCUUCUAGAUUAAUUUAAUGUUGUUUUGGUAUUUUUUAUUUGGGCCGAAGUCCUUGUACUGAAUGUUGGUUUCAGAAAGUUAAAUAAAAAGGCCAGCAGGCCACAAAAAUUUGAUUAAAAAACAAAGGUCCGAAUUUGAAAAAUUAAAAAUGUCUCGAAAGUUAAAUUAAUAUGGAAUGGAGGGAGUAGUUUAUGAAUAUUUACUUUUACCCUCAAUAUUAUAAAAUCAUAAUUAAACGGGUGAUUUGAAAUGAAGCAAUAGUACUUUAAUGCUCACGCUUAAUUCAAUCAAUUUAAUAAGAGUUAAAUGACAUUCAUAUUCUCCUUCAUUUAUAGUCUAUAAAUGUUUUCUUUCCUUUCUUUUCCUCCUUAUUUUCUGGUUUAUUGUUUACAUAUUAAUAAUAAAAAAUACUUCCUCCGUCCCAUUUUAUAUGUCAUCCCUUUUUGUAAAUAGCUGGAUCACAAUACUUGUCGUUUUAUAAAAUUUAUGCAUGAAUUACCAUAUUUUGCCUAUUAUACCCUUGAUAGAUUAGUUAAUUAAUCUUGAAAAUAUACUCACUGUUUAUUAUAAAGUUGACUUAAGAAAACAUUAAAUAAGGAUAGAAGGGUAAAGUUACACCAUUUCUUAAUGCAAGUGCAAAGUAAAAAGGUGACAUAUAAAAUGGGACAGAGGGAGUAAUGAUUAUCAACAUAUCAUAUCAUUUUGCUCCAGUACUAUCAUAUCAUAUAAUAUAUCGUACUUAUUCUAAAAGUGAAAAGUUGAAUUACCAAAUUGACCAUUAAAAGUUAAACGGCCAUUAUAUCUUUCAAACAAUUAUAUUAUUCAAAAACUUUAAAUGCAAACAUAUAAAUACACAUGCAUUUUUUUUUACAAUAAAAGGAAAUAUUUGUAUUUUUUAAAAUAAAAAUAAUAAUUGCAUCUUUGUAUAAAACGUUGGUGGUUCAAAUUAAUUGUUACCCUCAAAUAACCCUCCCUUUUCUUUUUAAGAGAUGGAAAGUAUGUAAAAUUGUUUGAUGCUAAACUAGAAUAGUUGUCAUAUUUAAUUUUCACUACUCAUAAAUUUUGGCUAUAAUAUAAUCUUGUAAGAAAUCAUGACGAAGACCACUCCUUAUGGUAAACACAAUUAGUAGUAGUUGUAGAGUAUUGGACUCCCACUCCUUCUCAGUUACUUUCAUUAAAUAAAUAAUUCGGUAUUCAAGAAAUAUCAAAUGCUAAUUGGUAUUAAUGUCUCAUACCAAACUUAAAUUCGGAUACCAUAAUUCUAAACCGAAUACCCAAUUAUUAUGUGUUCAAUUGGAACAAAACAUAAUUUGAGGUUUAACAGAGGGCAAAACACUACCCCAACUUUAACUCUCAAAUAUCAGAAGCACAUGACUGGUAGUCGGUAGAUAACAACUCUUCCCAAGGUUCAACAACAUGGAGGAAACUACAAUAGCAACCUUCAAGGUUCAACCAACUGUCACUCAACAAGCUUCGAAAGUACAUGUUUGAUAUUAUAGAAGAAUGCCCUAGACAUAAGAUUUCGAGUAACUAUAGAGCCAGAUAACGAAAUACCAACAAGAAUAUGUCUAACAACAAAUUAGACCAUAAAGUCUAACGAUUUUCUACAGACGUGGAGAAGCACAUCUUUCAGUAGAACCAGUCUGGGAUCGAGCUACUUAUAGAAAUGUAAGAGUUGCACAAAUUUCUGGCCGGCAGAAAGCUGAGCAAUGUCAAACGAGGUGUUAUAGAAAGGAACAGUUAAAGCAUGGACAUAUGUUAUUAAUUGCUUCCUACCCGUUGUUGAACCAUUGUUUCAGCAUGAGAAAAGAGAAUGCAACAGAAUUCUCGCAUAACAAGUUUCUAUCUUACUUCAAUUAUUCGAACGUAUAACAUAGUCAUUCAACCAUUAAACUUAUGCAUCAUCGCCAAUGCCAAUGAACUAACCCUUGCAAAGUUGCAAGCAUACUAAAAUAGUACUGUAUCCAUUCCAAUUUUGUAGAGGAAGUGUCCAAAUAUUUGGAUUGAUUCUAUUUUGAUAAUACUUUCAGAACUUCAUGAACUAAAUAUUCAUCAACUACUCAAAAUUUUGAACUUUGAUCUGAUGGUUUCUGCAUUCAACUAACUUUUCAACCAGUAUUGUAAUAUUUUCUUUCACUAUUAUUCAUAUAGUAUAGAAUCAAAUUAACAUCUUAAACUCCGUUCAGUCUAAUGUAGUCAUAUAAAAAGAACGGAGUAAGUAUUUAUUAAGAGCCUCGGAUAUCUAAAGAGAUGAAUCCUAACUUCAAUAGUAAGGACAGAGCAGUGGUAGUGAGUCUCAUUAUUAUUUUAUACACAAAGCAAUGCCUGUUUUAAGGCUCUAAAUCUCCUACCACACCAAGGAAAAUCACAUCCCUCUACAUAGGUGUGGCUAUAAUUACAUCUGGUCGCAACUAUACAAAGUACAGAACAAAAAAAAUGCAAUCUUUGAGAAGCAAGUUACUAGAUGAACAUGCAUCUUCGAGAGCAAUACUUCAACACGAUAAAUCAUCUGUGGAUGAUAUCCGUUAUAAAAAACAAGAGCAUAUCAAAAUUUGAAUCGCGUUCCACAUGAAACAAUAAAAACCAUGUAUAGAGAACACCACAUCAUGGAUAAAAAUCAGUACUUAAACAACACAACACGAGCAUAGCAAACUUCGAAUUGCAUUCCACGAGAAACAAUAAAAAACCAUGAACAAGACCACAUCAAGGAUAAAAAUCAGUACUUAAACAACACAACACGAGCAUAGCAAACUUCGAAUUGCAUUCCACGAGAAACAAUAAAAAACCAUGAACAAGACCACAUCAAGGAUAAAAAUCAGUACUUAAACAACACAACACGAGCAUAGCAAACUUCGAAUUGCAUUCCACGAGAAACAAUAAAAAACCAUGAACAAGACCACAUCAAGGAUAAAAAUCAGUACUUUAUCGCAAAAAUGCACAUCUAACCACAAUGAAUAUAUGUCAAACAUUUAGUAUUAACUCUAAUGAUUCUCCAACAUAUACAAAAAUCGACUCUACUCAUAGAAAAGAAUUGCUUACUUACUACAAUUGCUUAUCUUCCACUAUCCUCAAUCGCAUUUCAAUCAAUCUGGCAUUGAAUUCCCCAUCACUAACCUUCAACAUCUCCGAUAAAGAUAGCGAAAACCCAUGCUCCACCAAAAGUCUAUGCCGAGGCUUAAUCUUCCUCUCCAAACUAAACGAAAAGUACUGAGGAAACCUCUUCAAUUCCCCUAUAUCCCCAUUCAUCUCCUUCAAAAAAUACUCAACUUUCGGCCUAAAAUUUUUCUCAAUACUAAAUGUCAACAACCCAGGUGACCUCAAAACCAUAUUAACCACAUCAUCGCGUUCGAAUCCCAAACUCAACAUGUAAUCAAUUUUAGGGUUCAAUGUUAACUCAACACUGGAAACAAGCAAAACAGUAGUUCGACAAGUAAUCCGAUUCUGACCCACAAACCCAAAUUCCUUCAAAAACUCAAAUGUGGGUUUCAAUUGAUCUUCAACACUACAAACAAGAAUUCUCGGACAUCGGAUAAUGGAUUUCCGAAUGUCGUGAAAAGGGAUAACGACGUCGUUUAACAAGAAAUCGAAAAUUGGGUAAAGGUGGAUAUAAGGAUCGAAGAUGGGGGUUUAAUUGAAGGACUUUUGUGGGAUUGAUAUUGAGUUCUUGAAGAUAGAGUAUUUUCUCCCGGAAUUUGAGACCACAGUCAGUUGAAGUAAGGGUUGGUGGGGUGGAGAGGUGAAGGGAUUUGAGUGAGGUUUUUGUGGGUUUUGGAGAAAUUGAACAAAUGGGUAUUGGAGAAGAGGGGUUUGGGGUGAUGGAAGAAAAGGGGAUUAGGGUUUUGGGAGGGUUUAUCCAUGUUAGCAUCUCAGGUAGAAGAAGUGACAUUGAAGAAGAAAGGACUCUGUUUGCAUGCUUUGUGUUGGAGUUUAUUGAGAAAGAUGAUGACUACUUCAUUAGAGUUUUUCUUUGAGUUUGUGUUUUGUUGGGUAAAAACUACUUCUAUAGCCUAUCUCCUUAUCCCUAUUGUAAUUGUAUAUACCAAUUUCUUAUUUUAUUUUGAGCUAAUUGCUAAAAUAAUCCAUAAUGUAUUUUGGUUACGAGUGUUAUAUCUGAACUAUUUUAUGUAUAAGUUUUCUAAGUGAACUGUUGAAUAUUUAUCGAAACACACUUUGAUUAUCAGUUAUUCACUUUUCCUACCUGAAUGGUAGUAAUAUUUCAAGUAGGAAAAGUGAACAACUGAUAGUUCAAGUAUGUAUCGAUAAAUAUUUGGUGAUAGACUGAUAGUUCAGAUUGAGAAGUUCACACGCAUGAUAGUUUAGAUAUGAAACUCAAAAACUAGGAUACACCUAUCCUUCGACCUUUUAUUUUUGAAAAAAAAAAUAUACUACUAUGUAAGAGCCCUUUCAACUUGCCACUUACACAAUUUAGCUUUUGAGAAAAUUAGUAUAAUUCACAAAAAAACUUUACGUAAUUUAGUUAAUAAUACCAUGAGGCCACAAUACCCUCCCAACCUCCAAAAAAUCAAACUCAAAAUUUUAUCCACAACUUUGGGAAAUCGCAAAUUAUAUGUGAACGUGAUCACUGUAGCAAACUGUCAAUUUACAAACAAAUUUUGUUGUGAUUCAUGAUGUCUCACCAAUUGAGGAUAAUAGAUCAUUACUAGAUCUACCUCUCCGACUGAAUAUGAUAAAGCCUAUAAAACAUAGAGCUAUGUUUAAGAGAAAUCAAUCAACAAAGUUUGAUGAAAUUUGAAUUUGUAUGAUUGUGAAUAAAAUUGAAUAUUAUUAUAUAUAAUGUAUAAAAACCACUUGUAAUUUUGUAUAAUAUUAUACAUCAAGUUUUUAAACAUUUUCUGUAAAUUAGAAAAUGGAGGUUUUGUAUAAUAUUGUAUACUAUAUGUAUAUUAUUGUAUAUUUGAUUACAUACAAAUUAUCAUCAAUGAAUUAAAAAAAAUUCCAAUAUCAAAUCCUUGAAGAUGGUAAAGCCCAACGUUCUUCUGUAGGAUACAUUCAAAAGGCUUGAAGAUGAGUGAGAUAUUUGAAUGAAAAAAAAGAUUGAUAGCCCAUUGUGAAUUAUGAAGAAGAAACAGAUACCUAGACAACACUUGACCAACGUGAGUAUUGGCAUGUAUAUGAAACAUAUACUCUUAUUUUAUGAAUGUAUUAGUAUAUAUUUGAUAUCAGAUACAUGUAUCUAGAUAGUUGUAUCUACUUUUCUCCUUAGAAGUAUGUAUUAUGCACAAAUACAGUGUAUACAUCAUUGUAUACUUGAUACUUAAUACUACAGGAUAGACGAUACAUGUAUCUAAAUAAAUGUCUUCUAUCUUGUUCAAUUUGAUAUUGUGAAAGACAAAUGCAUUGUAUAGUACUAGAAAUUGAUACAUGCAUGUAUGCUAUGAAACAUAUACAUGUAUGGUAUAAAAAGAAGAUACACAAGCAUGCUUAUGUAUCAAAUAUCCGGUCAAGAGACGAGAGAGGUGAGAGGGAAAAGGUGUCACGAACUGUAUCUCAGAUAUAACCUCUUAGCGAGUGACAUACAAUGUAUAUUUGAUUAAAAUAGGAGAGAGGCAAAAGAAAGAGGAGCCAUGAGAGAGAAAGAAAAGAGGAGAGACACGAUCUAUAGUUAUUUUAAGUAUCAUUGCAUAACGUAAUUCCAAAAUAUACUAUCGUAUUUUGUGAAAUUUCCCCUAUAUAUUCCUCUUGCGUGAAUAAGCUAAGGAAAACCAGGAGAUAUAAGACGAGCCCAAAGAUAUUGGGCCUCUAAUUUGGCUUGUGACAUAAUGUCUAGCCCAAUAUCUAUAUGUAAGUUUUAAGGAAAUUUACCAAGUGAGACAAAAUGUCUCCACAUUUCAAUUUUAAUACUUAUGAAAUAUAAAAGAAUAACUAAAAGUAUAAAUCAGAAAUGACAUAGGAAAAUAAAUUCAAUUGAAUUGAAUAGGACUAGAAAUUGAACAGUAGCUCUAUGAUAAAAUUAUCAUCCUAUGGCCAGUGGCGGAUCCAGAAAUUUUAUUUCAUGAGUGCUCAAUUAUUUUUAGUUUGAGAAUUGCUAUAUAAAGUGGGUGCUUAGUUAAUACAUUUGAAUGAAUUAUUAGAUAUUACAAACAAAUAUUAGUGUUAAUUGCAAAAAAGCAAUGGGUGCUUAAGCACCCAUAAUCCAUAACAUACAUCCGCCACUGCCUAUGGCUAUGGCAAUCUAAGAUAAUUGACUUAAUGAGUUCGAGUUUGAAUCAGAACUAUUGGGUUCAUAUAAACUUAAUGUACAUAUCUCCAUAAUUCAUCAUACUCUUUACCUACCUAAUUUAUUACUGAAUUGAUCAAAUAAUUAUUUCUAACCCACAACUAUCUAUAUUUGUUUAAUGAAUUUUUAAACACAUACACAAAGUUAGAAUAAAAGCAACUACAUUUCAUCCAAAUUGUAUGGAAAAAGAAAAUCGUGUCUACUAAUUGGCUGCAUCAAUAUGUAACACGUGAUUAAAUCAUGUGCUACUAGAUAGCUUUUUUAGUACUAAGCGUAUGGUUAUUUCACAUCGAAAGAUAAGAAUUAAGAUACAUGAAAUUUUUUGUUUUUACUUUUUAUUUCUUGCAGAAUUUUUCCUUCUCAUCUUUCACAUCACAAUAUUAUAUUAUUUAUAAUAUAUAAAUUUUUUAAAAAUAGAAUAAGAAGAGAAGUAGGACAAGUAAGAUGAGCGAUAAAUGCGGCGAAAACACAUGUGAAAAUGUCUAAAAAAUAUGACAUCCCCAAAGAUCCCCUAUAUCUCUAUUUUCUUGGCCCCAUUAAUUAGCUCCCAUACAAUGGAGUUUGAAAAGUCGGAGACUGAGUGUCCGUUUGAAUUGACUUAUUUUAGGUAUUUUUAAACAGUUUUGUAGUGUUGGAUAAAGUUAAAAAGUGUUUAUAAGUAUUUAUUUUAAAGCCAAAAGUCGUAAGUUAGAAAUCCUAACUUAUAGCUUUUGGCUUAUAAGUCAUAAGCCAAAAGUCAAUCCAAACAGGCCUUGCGUUAGUGUUUGAUUAUAGAAAUAAAUAUAUAUCUAUAGAAUUAUAUUAUAUUAUUAUUAAUAAAUCUCACUUAUUUCUCAGCCAGAGUUGCAAUUAAAUUAAUAUUUAAUGGGAUAUCGAGGGACGUCCAAACUAAUAUGGGGUGAAAGGUAAAUUUAUACAAGUUGAAAGAGUUUUGGAAUAAUAUGAGUAAACCUACGGAUGAAAUUCUUGGUCCUUAUUAGUUUUCUAUCGCAUAUAAAAAAAUAAAUUAAUAUAGAUGACAACGAGUUAGACAAAAAAUAAAAGAGAUCAAAUAUAAAAAUAAAGAGUAAGCUCGCCAUUCAUUUUAACGAAGGAGGAUGAAAAAAGUGUCAUCUAGCCAUUGAAAGGAUGUUCCUAAUCACCUAAUGUUGAAUUAUUAUUAUUAUGGAUUAAUGUUAUUAGUGAUAAUUGAGCAUUAAAACUUAAAAGAUGUGAUUUUAACUUGAGAGUUUUCUUAUUAAAUGUUCAAACACUUGUUUUUGGCUUUAUUUGUUAGAGAAGUGCUUUCAUGUUGGUCUUUUUAAUGUAAAAUACUUGUAAUAUGACCUCUUUUCCAAAAAUAAUUUUCCUUUUCGGGAAGUGCUAAUGGCCAGAAAAUUUGGCCAGAAUUUGAUCAGAAAAUUUAAAAAGUUAUAAUAUUUUUUUUAUUUUAAAAUAAACUGAUGUUUUUUUUCUAUUUUUAGUUAAAAGAUAUUAAAGUUAAAAGGAUAAAAAUGUUUAAAAAGGUAAAAUAGCAUAGAUAAAAUAUUAUUCUGACCAAAUUUUCUGGCCAAAAAGAUUUUCCCUUUCCAAUAUUAAUAUUCAUAUUUAAUCAUCCUUAACUACAUAUUAAUAAAUAAAAUAAAUUAAGAGAGUGUUAAUGGGAUAUUGAGUCACUAGGCUCAAAACACAAGAAGAGAAAAGAAGGGCAGAUGGAAGAAGGUGAGGGGUGUUUGACUAGUCAUUGUCAGCCUUUUCAGGGCAUCACGCAUACCCUCAAUUCUUCCCAAUUUUCAAAUUUGAAUACUCUGAUAAUAUUCAAUUGAAAAUAAAUAAAAUAGAUAUAAUAUGUUAACAUGACUUUUAAUUUUUUAAAAUUUACAGAUAUUUAAAUUUAUAUAAAAUUAAAUAAAUAAAUAAAUAACACACAUAUUUUAUAUGACGUUUUACAAAUUAGUUCAAAUGUAUCUUACCUGAAUUGUCAUAUAGAGCACCAAAGUUUUUCCGAAAUUUGAAUUAAUAGUGUCAAAUUGGAUCACUUUAUAGGAGUUGAUGCAUUCAAUUUUUCUCAAAAAAACAAACAUAAUUUUAUUGAUAAAUAAUAUGAAUACUUGCUUGAUUCUUCUCUUUUCAUUUUCUCAGUGAUUCAUGGACGGUUAAUAAUGUAUAUCUCAAACAUAGAAUGGUUGGACCUCUUUGAGAUUUAUUUAAUCUUCUUGAAAUAUUUAACUUUAGAGAAAAAUCAAGUUACGUCUUAAUUUUUCUAUAAAUAUUUCAUGAAAUUAUUAAAAUUUCAAUAAGAUAUGUUCAACUAAAACAAAAUUAAAUUCGAUUAUCUAAAUGAUUUUCAUAUAAGAAAUAAAAAUAGUGUCACGUACCAUUGACCAUAGGCAAUACCAUUAAUUUCUAGUUGAGAGCUAAUGUAGCUUUCAAGAAUAGGUAGAUACGCAUUUAUUGCUUUCGAAUUAUAUAAUAUAAACAUUUGUAUUUUUAUUUUUUUAUGAAUUGCUUUAAAUUAUAAUUUCUUUAAAAAAUACUAAUAAUUUAGAUAUCGUGUUGGUGUAUUAUACCACAAAUACAAUAAAUUAUAGUUGAAAUAAAAUGACAAAAAUGAAUAAACAAAUAUUUAGGUUGAGGCGCGAAUAUCUCACUCUCUUUAAGGAGAUUCAAGCUCACUGCGGCAUAAUCUACACCGAUCCAGCAGUAUCACUCUUGACUUGUUCCCUCCAGGAUACAACAACCCAACAACGUCGUACAACUCAAACAACUUCGAAUUAGUUGAAGAUUUCAAAGCUCCACUAGAGAACACCUUCUUCAACAUAUAAUUACUCUCUUGUUUGUAUAGUGAAUACAGUUGAAAACUUAGAAUAUUUUUUUAUGUCUCAACUCUUUCUUUCACUACACUAACCUCAAUAUAAACUUUUCACGUUUUCUUACACUAUUUCUCUUCCACUUUAUCAAUCCAAAGGAAGACCACUAUUUAUAUGUGAUGAAUUUUUCCUUGAAAUAGAUAAAAGAUAAUGGAUAGUAAAUUUGAUAAGUGAAUGACCUAUAAGUUACAUAGGUUACCAGAAUAAAGAGGUAGAAUAAUGGGUGAAAUUAAUGGUAAAUCAUGGCAAUAAUGGGUUACAAGAGUUAAACCAAAGUAAUGAUUACAUUCUUGCCAACUUAUACCCACUAAUAAAUGCACUUAAUAUUUUUUUUUUAAUGUUUAAAUGCAGAAACACCAACGUAUCGUACCCAGUCAAACACAAUUCCAAAAAAGUAUAAAAAAAAGAUUAGGUAGAUGUCCCCACGUGCGUUAGUAAUUUAGUGUCAAAGAGACAGAAGCAGACCCAAACGGUUCGUCUGGUUACGUGUUGGACAUAUAUAAGACAGUACUACUACACCUUUGUUUAAAGCUGAUUAUUCAUUGCCCCCUUUUCGUUUUCGUAUUGAUGUUCGAUAAAAUUUGAAUUUACGAAUAUUUAUUUUUGAUGUUAAUAGUUUUAAUAGAAUUUUUUUUUUUUUUUUAUUAAAGAUGAAAAGAUGAUGAACGCUCCCUAACAACUAGUAGUAGAUAAGAUUCUUCUAUGUGAUGUUGUGACAAGUGGCAUGUAUUGGGAUGGAGAGUAUUAUUAUAUAUGAGUUCAAUUGAAAUAUGUGUUGUGGAGUCAUGAAUAGGAGGGUUAAGUGAAAAAAAACUUAUGAUCCAACUUAAAUUUGAACUUAUUAGAUAUUUAACGAUCAACUAUAUUAUUAAAAAGAUUAUCAAAAGGGAAAUGACAUCGGGUGAGAAGACAAUUGAAGACCGAUCAUGUUAUUCCAAUUAAAUAUGAAAAGGAUUUGAAAAGGAAAGCAAAAUAAUAGUUAUAUGAUCAACGAAUAAAUAAAUUGUGAUCACAUAACAACACAAAGACUACUUAGGAUAAGAAAAUCCCUCAUAGUAAAACAUAGAAGAGCUAUUGGAUAUAUAAGUAUUCAUGCUUAUAUAUUAGUGAAACAUUUUUAAAUAGUACAAAUUUAUGUUCAAAACAAACAAUAUCACUAGCGAAUUAAAUUGUUAAUUGUUACAGACAGAUGUGAAGCCAAUUGAGAAUGAAUACAACCAUAUUUUAAGGGGUGAAAAAAUAGAGAGGAAGAAGUGAAUCCAAAGAUAAAUUCUAUGGAUCAUACAAUUAAAAUAAUGUAAUUAAUAUGUCAGAGUUGUUAGUGAGCAUUACAUCAGCUAACUCAGAACUGAAAAUAUUGUCCUUUUUCCCACUGCAAAAAUAAUUUUUCCUAUCUGCACAUAGAUUUUCCAUAUCUCUAUUUUAACAAUACUCCAUAUUCUAUAUAUCUUGCAAAAUGGUUACUAUUUUUUUUUACAUAAACAUAAGUAGCAUAACCUGACAAUGUAAAACAUAUUUAUGUUAUGAGUAUAAUUUCACGAGUUAUGGUAGUUUAAGUGUCAUAUUUAUCGAUUACUAAUACUCCACCUGACUCAAUUUAUGUGAUGUUAAUUGUUUUGACACAAAAUUUAAGAGAGAAAAACUUUUGAUUCAAAACAAGUUAUAAAUAUUUAUGUGGCUAAAAAUUAUAUCCCAUUAAGAUAAAAUGAACAUUUUAAAGUUAGAAUACUACUUACGAUAGAAAUUGUCUUUGCAGUGAUCUAAUUAUAUAAAUAUCAUUUAUAUUGUUAGUGCAAUUGAGGUUUCAAAUCCAAUUUUAAAAUUUACAAGCAUCUUUCUUAUCAUAUCAAAUAAUAAUGAUAUGUGGUGUCCUAAGGUUUUGGAUUAAGUUUCCCAAUGAGUGCAAUCCUUAUGUUUAGUUGUCCUCGUUGAGCUUAGAACUCUGAACAAAUUGUCCGUAAUUAGUCAGAGAAAGGAUCAGGAAAAGGUCAAGUCAUCAUUCCCCGGACCUAUCUCAAUGAGAAUAAAAGGGUGUUGUGGAUGAUUUUUCUUCACCAUUUAUGAUUUCCCUCUUGAAUUUGCGUUAGCUAGUUAAAAGUGAUUUACUAGGGAGAGGAAUUAGACUAUCUCCUCAUGAGUUAAAAGAUAUAUUUCGAAGAUAUUAUUCAUAUAUUGUAUUUAUGAUAAUGAAUAUACCAUAUUAAUUCGAGGUUUGGAAUGACCUGGUGCUAAAGGAAACGUUUCAUUUGCCAUAACAAAAAUAAUUAUUACCAUUACUACAAAUUUAGAGAGACAAAAAAUAUCGCCUUAAUCGGCAAGGAAAAUGAACUUUGCUCCUCUGUGCUUUGAGUUAAUUUCUUGAGUUUUCACACCCAAUUAGUUUUAACUGAAUACCAAGGCUAAUGGAUCAAUUUGAAGUCCAUUACAUAUUUUGUAUAUUAGAUCAACCAAAGACAUUAGACUGUAAUUUUUCGAGUAAAGAAUUCACUCCCUUAAAGCCCACAACUCAAGAGAUCGUGAUAUAUUAAGAGAAACUUUCACAUAUAGCCAAUCAAAAAUAGCCUAAUUACUCUCCAUGACUGUAGUUUGAUAAUUACAAUUCGUUGCUACAUGUCAUGGGGAGGAGAGAGGCGAGCGAGACUGGGAGAGAGAGGACUAAGAGUUGGAGAGAGGUGAAUUGUAUAAGUAUAUCGGUUAGAUAAUUGUAUAUUAUACAUAUGUAUUUGUAUAUAUGGCAAGCGAGAUUGGGAGAGGGAGGAGAGAGGCAAGCGAGAGAGGGCAGAGAGUGGGAGAGAGGUGAAUUAUAUAUGUAUAUCAGUUAGAUAAUUGUAUAUUAUACAUACGCAUUUGUAUAUAUGGCAAGCAAGAUUGAGGGCAGAGAGUGGGAGAGAGGUGAAUGUAUAUGUAUAUCAGAUAGAUAAUUGUAUAUUAUACAUAUGUAUUUGUAUAUUCUAGCGAAUUAUACAUAUACAAACGUGGCUAAUUAUACAAACUCGAAGUCAGCCCACGUAAUUAAUGUAUAAUGUUAGUCGCGAGUGGUAAUUAUAGCAUACUAUAGCUAUGAUGAGUAAUUAAGUAGUAUAAAUUUGCUUAACCGCAUAAUUUUCCCAUAUAUUAACUACAUAUAUUACAGACACCAAUCUUUUAGCUUUAACUACUUCAUUUUCUAGCAGUAAGCCCACCUUCUUGGGCCUUAAAAGCCCAAGAGUCCAGCAACGUUGAUACUUCUUCAAAAGGCCCAUAAAUCUAAGGAAGGCCAGCUAUUUAUCAUACUUUAUAGGGAAAUUAUAUGAAAUAACAAAUUAUUAAUUCGAAAUAAAUGUUAUAACUACAGUUUUAUUUAAUUCUAAUUCGUAGCAAACACUUUGCCAUUAGCCUCUCUCCCCAGAAAUCUCGCUCGCCACUCUCCCUCGCCUCUCUCAUUUUAUACAAUACAAAUGUAUAAAUUGUGUUUGUUUUUGUAUAAAGCGAGAGAAAAUUGUAUAUAUACAAAUGCAAAUACAUAUAUUUUCGUCCUAUACACUUAUAAUUAUAUAAAUACAAAUAUUUCCCUACCAAUUCUUUUUUGCCUUUCUCUCUUUCUUGCUUUAUACAAACACAAUACAAUUACAAUGUAUAAUUUGUGUUGUAUAAAGCGAGAGAUAUUUGAUAUACAAAUGUUUUAUUUCGAUUCAAUUGCAUACAAAUUUAAAUUUUAUGCAGAUAUACAAACACAAUAAUUGAUACAUAUACAUAGUAGUUACAUAUAUACAAUUAUUUAAUUGAUAUACAUAUAUACGCUUUUAUACAAACGGCAUAUAGUUUGCUAGGAAACACAAAUAACAAAACUGUAGCUAUAGAGCGCUAAUAUGAUUUUUAAACCUAAAAUUUACUCAAAUGAACACCCAAUUAAGGUAUUUGGAUGGUCAGCUAGAAACAGUUCCGAGGCUUCUUUCAUCCACCCGUUUUCGCGAAAUCAUCGAUAUUGUCAAAGUACCAUCUUCUGUUUCGCAAACUAUUGCACACCCAAGAAACUAAAUAAAAGUAGUAUUAUUAUAAAUAAAAGGUAAAAUAACCAAAACCUCGUAAACUUGUCAAUUUGCUAAACUUUCAUUAUGUUUAUUCAAAUAAAAAAAAAUCACAAGGGAUCAUUUGUUCAUUUUCCCUUUUCACAACUUCCUAAAGCACAACAUUUGUUCGGUAACAAGGGAUUGACAAAAAUAUUUUUAAUUGGCUUAAGUCAAUUGGUUCCAACAAUGUGACAUUUGAAUUACAUUAAGUGGAAACCUAUGACAGGUACCCAGACACUGGAUGAAAAAACAAUGUAGUUGCUCGAUCUGAACUACUUAAUCCACGUGCUAGAUUGACCAUCCGCAGUGUAUGCACAAACUACUUCUACCAUGUAGAUUUGCAGUAGUUAAUCCACACUUCUUUUGGACAGUGAAACUAGGUAUUCUGGUCCAAAAGAGAUCAAUCAUGAGGGAGGACGAACCUCAACUUCACCUCAUACUCCAGCUUCCUCCACUGUCUCACACUUAUAGAUUAAUGCUUCAUCGUUUUUGCAAACUCCCUGCCAUAACAUGAGAGAUAUUUGUAUUUAGAACAAAAAUUUCCUCUUUUAUAAUAACCACAAAGAGCAUCAAAAUGAACUAUUAAUAACAGAAAGCAAAGCGAGAAGUUUAGAUACAUAUCGAGAUAUAUACCUCUACUUAUGACCUUUGUUUCUUAGAAGAGGAACAACUGGCUUCUUCAUGAUGUUCACUAUCGUCNNNNNNNNNNNNNNNNNNNNNNNNNNNNNNNNNNNNNNNNNNNNNNNNNNNNNNNNNNNNNNNNNNNNNNNNNNNNNNNNNNNNNNNNNNNNNNNNNNNNNNNNNNNNNNNNNNNNNNNNNNNNNNNNNNNNNNNNNNNNNNNNNNNNNNNNNNNNNNNNNNNNNNNNNNNNNNNNNNNNNNNNNNNNNNNNNNNNNNNNNNNNNNNNNNNNNNNNNNNNNNNNNNNNNNNNNNNNNNNNNNNNNNNNNNNNNNNNNNNNNNNNNNNNNNNNNNNNNNNNNNNNNNNNNNNNNNNNNNNNNNNNNNNNNNNNNNNNNNNNNNNNNNNNNNNNNNNNNNNNNNNNNNNNNNNNNNNNNNNNNNNNNNNNNNNNNNNNNNNNNNNNNNNNNNNNNNNNNNNNNNNNNNNNNNNNNNNNNNNNNNNNNNNNNNNNNNNNNNNNNNNNNNNNNNNNNNNNNNNNNNNNNNNNNNNNNNNNNNNNNNNNNNNNNNNNNNNNNNNNNNNNNNNNNNNNNNNNNNNNNNNNNNNNNNNNNNNNNNNNNNNNNNNNNNNNNNNNNNNNNNNNNNNNNNNNNNNNNNNNNNNNNNNNNNNNNNNNNNNNNNNNNNNNNNNNNNNNNNNNNNNNNNNNNNNNNNNNNNNNNNNNNNNNNNNNNNNNNNNNNNNNNNNNNNNNNNNNNNNNNNNNNNNNNNNNNNNNNNNNNNNNNNNNNNNNNNNNNNNNNNNNNNNNNNNNNNNNNNNNNNNNNNNNNNNNNNNNNNNNNNNNNNNNNNNNNNNNNNNNNNNNNNNNNNNNNNNNNNNNNNNNNNNNNNNNNNNNNNNNNNNNNNNNNNNNNNNNNNNNNNNNNNNNNNNNNNNNNNNNNNNNNNNNNNNNNNNNNNNNNNNNNNNNNNNNNNNNNNNNNNNNNNNNNNNNNNNNNNNNNNNNNNNNNNNNNNNNNNNNNNNNNNNNNNNNNNNNNNNNNNNNNNNNNNNNNNNNNNNAUAUACAAAUACAUAUAUUUUCGUCUUAUACACUUAUAAUUAUAUAAAUACAAAUAUUUCCCUACCAAUUCUUUUUUGCCUUUCUCUCUUUCUUGCUUUAUACAAACACAAUACAAUUACAAUGUAUAAUUUGUGUUGUAUAAAGCGAGAGAUAUUUGAUAUACAAAUGUUUUAUUUCGAUUCAAUUGCAUACAAAUUUAAAUUUUAUGCAGAUAUACAAACACAAUAAUUGAUACAUAUACAUAGUAGUUACAUAUAUACAAUUAUUUAAUUGAUAUACAUAUAUACGCUUUUAUACAAACGGCAUAUAGUUUGCUAGGAAACACAAAUAACAAAACUGUAGCUAUAGAGCGCUAAUAUGAUUUUUAAACCUAAAAUUUACUCAAAUGAACACCCAAUUAAGGUAUUUGGAUGGUCAGCUAGAAACAGUUCCGAGGCUUCUUUCAUCCACCCGUUUUCGCGAAAUCAUCGAUAUUGUCAAAGUACCAUCUUCUGUUUCGCAAACUAUUGCACACCCAAGAAACUAAAUAAAAGUAGUAUUAUUAUAAAUAAAAGGUAAAAUAACCAAAACCUCGUAAACUUGUCAAUUUGCUAAACUUUCAUUAUGUUUAUUCAAAUAAAAAAAAAUCACAAGGGAUCAUUUGUUCAUUUUCCCUUUUCACAACUUCCUAAAGCACAACAUUUGUUCGGUAACAAGGGAUUGACAAAAAUAUUUUUAAUUGGCUUAAGUCAAUUGGUUCCAACAAUGUGACAUUUGAAUUACAUUAAGUGGAAACCUAUGACAGGUACCCAGACACUGGAUGAAAAAACAAUGUAGUUGCUCGAUCUGAACUACUUAAUCCACGUGCUAGAUUGACCAUCCGCAGUGUAUGCACAAACUACUUCUACCAUGUAGAUUUGCAGUAGUUAAUCCACACUUCUUUUGGACAGUGAAACUAGGUAUUCUGGUCCAAAAGAGAUCAAUCAUGAGGGAGGACGAACCUCAACUUCACCUCAUACUCCAGCUUCCUCCACUGUCUCACACUUAUAGAUUAAUGCUUCAUCGUUUUUGCAAACUCCCUGCCAUAACAUGAGAGAUAUUUGUAUUUAGAACAAAAAUUUCCUCUAUUAUAAUAACCACAAAGAGCAUCAUAAUGAACUAUUAAUAACAGAAAGCAAAGCGAGAAGUUUAGAUACAUAUCGAGAUAUAUACCUCUACUUAUGACCUUUGUUUCUUAGAAGAGGAACAACUGGCUUCUUCAUGAUGUUCACUAUCGUCGUAUCUGAUCCUCCUUAUCCCCAUGGAAAGUUCUGUUGGUGGUUCAUCAUUGGUCUCAACAAGCUCAGAUUCAUAUUUAUAGAACAAACGAAGUCCACACUUCUUCAAUUCUUCAGGAAAAGAUAACAUAAUGUGCCCAUAGUCAUUUGGUGUUUUACCAUUUGCGUUAGAUGUAUCCCAUAUGCCAGCAAAAGGUACCAAGAAAAACUGAAUCACACAAUCUGGAAUACAUUCUGAAUAAUUGUAUAAGCCAAGUUUCUGGGUGAUACACGGCAUCCCUUCAGAACUAAUAAUCAAUUGAGCCAUGUUUUGAAUUAAACUUCCAGAGUAACAUACAGCAAAUCCCAAGAAGUUAUCUGAUACACACCAGUUUUCAGGCAAAUUGACUAAAACACUUUUAUCCAUUCCCUGAUAGUGGAACCAACUAGGGAUAUUACUCCCCCAACUCGUAAACACUCUUAACGACAAGGAAUCUGAAGCAGAGAUGUCAUGCUGGAAUGAUGAGAUAUUUUGAAAUAGUGAAUUACAGAUCAAAUCAUUGUGCCAAUCUGCACAUAUUGUAUCUAAUUGCGGUGGAAAUUCUGGCAACUGUGUAAGCCUCUUGCAACCUUCUAAGGAUAAGACUCGAAGAGCACCAAGUUGGGCUAUGCUUUGAGGCAAAUGCUCAAAAUUAUCUCCCUUGAGAUGCAACUUUAUCAAAGAGGAUAAGUAUCCAAUAUCUUCCGGAAUUCUUCCAUCUAUGAAAUUGGAGGAACUGAGCUUCAGGAUUUCCAAUGAGAGUAACCCGCCAUUAAUUGGAGGAAACACAAAGUACACUUCAUCUUCUGUUUCAAUUUUUACAAACUUCAAGGAUUUAAGCUUGUUCAAGCGGACAAUGGAAGAAGGAGGUCGUGAAAUUAGAGUACAUGUAGCAUCAAGUUCCUCCAAAUUUUCUAAAUCACCUAUCUCUUCGGGCAAGCUUUUAAUUGUAAAGCAGUACGACACAUUUAGCUUCACCAAACCUUUCAACUUAACAAUGCUGCUUGGAAGUGCUUCAAGGUUUUCCAUGCCACUCAAAUCUAGGUUUGUGAGAUCAGUUAGGUACUGAAUAGAUGAUGAAAAUUUCCUUAUCCAACCCUUUGCUGAGAGAAUCACUAACUCCGUCUUCAUUAAAUUAUAGCACGAUUGUAGAUCCAUAGAUUCAAGAGAUUUCAUGUUAACACAUGGAAAUCUCCUAAGCUUGUUACACCAAUUCAAAUUUAACUCAAUGAGGUUUUCGCAAUAUGCUAGGGAAUUGUGAACCUCUUCAAGUUCACUACAGUACUCCAGAUUCAAAUACUCCAAAUUUGGCAUCCCCGUGAAAUCUGGUGUUUGAACUAGGCUUUUAGAAAAGCAGAGAUCUAGCUUUCGUAGAGACGGCAAAUGCUGCUAUUCAAAAUAGAGAAAGAAUUAUCUUUGUGUUUAAUUUACCCCUUAGACCAAAAAUGAAUAAAGACAUUUGGAUUAUGAUAGUCUAACAAAAUAUUUUAAGUGAAAUUAGAAAAUGUUUUAUUUUAUUUUUAUAUUGAAAUUACUUGUUCAGAAACUAAAUAAAAGUGUUUAUUAUCUAUAAUCCUUUAGACUUGACAUGUUUUAUUCGAUACACACUUGAUUGUUACACUUAUCUUAAAUAUCCCCUAUAUAUACUUGACUAUUUACUACUUUCUCAAUUUCACAAAGAAUGGUCUAGUUUGACUUGACACGACGUUUAAGAAAAUAAAGAAAACUUUUGAAUCUGUGGUCCUACAUUAAAGUUAUGUCAAAUGUACAAAAUUGUCCUUUAAUCUUGUGGCCUUAAACAUGUCACGUGAAAAAAAAUGUUACCAAAAAUAGAAAAAGGUCAUUCUUUUUUAAACUGACUAAAAAAAAAAGGAGGUCAUUCUUUGUGAAACGGAGGGAGUAUCAUUUAUCUCUUGAACAUUGAUGUGGAAAAGAGUGAAUACACUCUUCUAGGUGCUUGAGUGAAAAGAAAAAUAGAGGGCAUAAUUUUAACCCCAAUUUAUGUUUUUUUUUUAAUUCUUUAGCUGUAAUGACUAUUUAUUUUAAUUAUCUAUUUUUCUCUUUUGGUGAGAGUGUUUAGUUGUCGGUGUAGAUCAAAUAUUAAAAAUAUGGCAUCUAGACAACUAUUAAACGGGGAAUGAAUUUACCCAAUGGAUUUUAUGUUUUAAGAGAAUAAGAGCCAUGUGGAUGUUACUUGAGUUUAACACUGUUACUUUUAAACGGAUUUUAUUAAGGAGAUUAAAAGUACUCCACUUUAGCAAAAUGAAGGGAUUAAAAAUAUUCAUAUUAUAUAUAUUUGAAGACCAAAAUGAACCUAUUCCUAUAGAUAUGGUAUAGUUUUAGCCCAAAUCCAAUAUAUGAAACCUUAAUCAUCAUUCAAGAAGAUAGUAGUAUAGAAUGAACUCCUUCGAUAAGUAUUCAUUUUGUCCCACUACAUAAAACCUAGGAUGAGAUUCAUAUUUUUGUAGGUAAAUAUUUGAAUGAUCAAAUUUUAAAUUGAGCUUCUUAGUUAAAAUAAUGAGGCAAGAUUUGAAAAAAAAGACAUAACGAUAUUAUAAUUUUAAUAGAAAAGGGACUAAAUUGCCCUUGAACUAUCAGAAAUAGCUCCAUUUUAUCCUUCAUUUGCUUUUGGUAUACCAAAAAUACCCUUGUUAUCUAUUUUUUGGACCAAAAAAUGCCUCCAAGCUAAUGUUGUCCACAUGAGCAUGUUAGGGCCAUUUAAAUAAUAGAAAAAGCUGACAUGACAAUUCAAUCUGACAAAAUAGGGUUAAAUUGCCUUUGAAGAAAUUGCUUAUUUAAUUUUUACAUUUAUAUGACGUUGGGUUUCGUCGUAUCAAUGAGUGAUUCUUACCUAAUCUAUUUUUUUAAAGUCGAACUUAACUUGAUUGUUUAAAAGUGUAUGUUACAUUAAAUCCAUCAGAAAAUAGAUGGCAGGGUGUUUUGGUUGUCAGAAGCAAAUGAAGGAUUAAUUGAGCUAUACUUGUUAGUUUAAGGACAAUUUUAGCCCUUUUUCAUAGUAACAAUAUGAAAACUCAAUAUUGUAUAACAUAUAUUAAUUUGAGUUUAUGGAAUUAAUAACUUAUUUCAUUUAAAUACAAAUACCAUAAUUCUAGGACAAGUAACCAUGUAAAGUAGAAAAAAGGGGCAAAUAUACAUCUUAACUAUGUGAUCUGGAGUGAGUAUACCUUUUGUUAAAAAUAUAAAAUGAUGCAUAUAUAACAUGAACGUUUAACAAAUAAUGCAUAUUUAUUAUUUUCAUUAACAAUUAAAUUUUAAAAAAAUUGAAGUUAGUUUUUUAAUUUCUAAACACUCACAUGGUUUUUUAAAAAAUUACUCACUCAAUUUUUACCCCUCUAGACCUAAUCCAACUAAAGAACCUCAUCGCUCUUUAUUCAGACCUGACUCAAACUCAUCCUAUGUUUGAGUAGAAGAUGGAUUGGGUUUUUAUUCAUUUGGGUUGGGUCUAGAGGGGAAAAAAAAUGAGUGGGGUAAUUUUUUAAAGCCACAUGAUAUUUUUGAAUUUUAAAAAUCAAUUUUAUAAUUAUUUUUUUAAUUCAAUAAAUACAGACCCGUUAACGGAAAUGGUACAUAUGCACCAUUUGUUAGACGACAUAGUAUAUAUAUCAUUUUUUUAAACAAAAGAUAUAUCAGUUUCAAAUCGCAAAGUUGAGGAUAUUUACCCUUUUCCUUAGAAAGUAGCUUAAAUAAAAUGGUACCUCUGUUUCCUUCCAUAAAUAAUGCAGCGAACUCCCACGAAGUUGAAGAUGAACAAGCUUUUCUGGUUUAAAAUUUUCUGGCAAUGAUUUCCAAGAAAAGGCAUUCCAGACUAACCAACGCAAGUUAUUGGACAG
RNAcentral lists this long non-coding RNA (25163 nucleotides) under Solanum tuberosum (potato). RNAcentral describes it as "long non-coding RNA (STUB_LNC005383)". The record is from RNAcentral. Lineage: Eukaryota; Viridiplantae; Streptophyta; Magnoliopsida; Solanales; Solanaceae.